RNAcentral lists this ribosomal RNA (434 nucleotides) under uncultured bacterium. RNAcentral describes it as "partial 16S ribosomal RNA". It matches the Rfam family "Bacterial small subunit ribosomal RNA", at positions 29 to 507 of the family's 1533-position model. The record is from RNAcentral.
AGCGAACGCUGGCGGCAGGCCUAACACAUGCAAGUCGAACGAACCUUUCGGGGUUAGUGGCGGACGGGUGAGUAACACGUGGGAACGUGCCUUUAGGUUCGGAAUAACUCAGGGAAACUUGUGCUAAUACCGAAUGUGCCCUUCGGGGGAAAGAUUAAUCGCCUUUAGAGCGGCCCGCGUCUGAUUAGCUAGUUGGUUGAGGUAAUGGCUCACCAAGGCGACGAUCAGUAGCUGGUCUGAGAGGAUGAUCAGCCACAUUGGGACUGAGACACGGCCCAAACUCCUACGGGAGGCAGCAGUGGGGAAUCUUGCGCAAUGGGCGAAAGCCUGACGCAGCCAUGCCGAAUGAAUGAUGAAGGUCUUAGGAUUGUAAAAUUCUUUCACCGGGGACGAUAAUGACGGUACCCGGAGAAGAAGCCCCGGCUAACUUCGUG